This 26-nucleotide non-coding RNA is filed under the name Mus musculus (house mouse). Lineage: Eukaryota; Metazoa; Chordata; Mammalia; Rodentia; Muridae. The record is from RNAcentral.
UGCUAUGUCUGAGGAAUUAUCAAGGA